RNAcentral lists this ribosomal RNA (402 nucleotides) under uncultured soil bacterium. Its description in RNAcentral is "bacterial SSU rRNA". It matches the Rfam family "Bacterial small subunit ribosomal RNA", at positions 26 to 455 of the family's 1533-position model. The record is from RNAcentral.
AGAACGAACGCUGGCGGCAUGCCUAAUACAUGCAAGUCGAACGAACACUUCGGUGUUAGUGGUGCACGGGUGCGUAACGCGUGGGAAUCUGCCCUUGGGUUCGGAAUAACAGUUGGAAACGACUGCUAAUACCGGAUGAUAUCGAAAGAUCAAAGAUUUAUCGCCCAGGGAUGAGCCCGCGUAGGAUUAGCUAGUUGGUGAGGUAAAGGCUCACCAAGGCGACGAUCCUUAGCUGGUCUGAGAGGAUGAUCAGCCACACUGGGACUGAGACACGGCCCAGACUCCUACGGGAGCAGCAGUAGAGAAUAUUGGACAAGUGGGCGCAAGCCUGAUCCGAGCAAUCGCCGCGUGAGUGAUGAAGGCCUUAGGGUUGUAAGCUUCUUUACCCGAGAUGAUAAUGAC